Molecule: long non-coding RNA, 688 nt
Organism: Lates calcarifer (barramundi perch)
Lineage: Eukaryota; Metazoa; Chordata; Actinopteri; Centropomidae
Exons: 4
Source: RefSeq, a predicted model, not a curated record
CAGGGGCCAGUGUAACUGAACCAAGCCAGGAAACAUACGCUGUCAUCACAAAACCCAGGAAAGAGAAAGUGUCUGUAGAUUCCAGAGUAGCUGAACCAAGUGAGGCAACAUAUGCUGUCGUCAAGAUAGCAAGACCCAAGGAGAAAAAAGAUGAGGAGAAACCGUUGGUUGUUUACCACACCUUAAGCCUGGCUGACACUUAACUAUUACAUCCAGCAUGAAGAGGUUACUGAGAGCAGAGACACCUGACUGAAGGACGGAUGAGAAACUAUUUAAAGUUAUACAACCACACAUGCAGCUGUUACCACGAUGCAGGAGCCUUUAAUUAACAUGGACCGUCAAACUUCAAUCAAACUAUUGUGAUUUGUAACAUUGUAUGUAUUAAGAGCUCUUAAGAGCAGCAGUUGAGGAGCUGUCUGGGUUAAUGACAAAACAUAAUAACACAUUUCUUUGCUUAUAAGAAAUGUAGUGACAAACCUUUAAAGAUGUUGCAGGUUAUGUGCAUUCAUAAAGAAUGCACGUAAAGAAGGCACAUAACAAACAAUGUGCAGCUUGUUAUGAAGGGGAAAUGAUCUAAACAGACAUGAUUUGUCAUCAUCAUCCUUCAAAUGAGAGCGAGACCUUCAGUUCACCUCACAGCAUCAGUGUCUGUUAAAGUAGAGCAGUGAAACCACUCAGUUCUGUCUGU